AGAAUGGUGUUUUUCAACACCACCCCACAAAAUUUUUGAAAGAUGA
Picea glauca (white spruce) is the source of this 46-nucleotide non-coding RNA. The record is from Rfam. NCBI's taxonomy places the organism in Eukaryota, Viridiplantae, Streptophyta, Pinopsida, Pinales, Pinaceae.